RNAcentral lists this ribosomal RNA (466 nucleotides) under uncultured bacterium. RNAcentral's name for it is "bacterial SSU rRNA". It matches the Rfam family "Bacterial small subunit ribosomal RNA", at positions 28 to 507 of the family's 1533-position model. The record is from RNAcentral.
GACGAACGCUGGCGGCGUGCUUAACACGUGCAAGUCGAACGGUGACGAGGAGCUUGCUCCUCCGAUCAGUGGCGAACGGGUGAGUAACACGUGAGUAACCUGCCCCAGACUCUGGAAUAACAGUUGGAAACAGCUGCUAAUACCGGAUACGAGACGGAGAGGCAUCUCUACCGUCUGGAAAGUUUUUCGGUCUGGGAUGGACUCGCGGCCUAUCAGCUUGUUGGUGAGGUAAUGGCUCACCAAGGCGACGACGGGUAGCCGGCCUGAGAGGGCGACCGGCCACACUGGGACUGAGACACGGCCCAGACUCCUACGGGAGGCAGCAGUGGGGAAUAUUGCACAAUGGGCGCAAGCCUGAUGCAGCAACGCCGCGUGAGGGAUGACGGCCUUCGGGUUGUAAACCUCUUUCAGUAGGGAAGAAGCGAAAGUGACGGUACCUACAGAAGAAGCACCGGCUAACUACGUG